GCUAAGACUGGAUAGGAAGAAAUAAGGCAUCUUUUUUCUUUUAAAAGACCUAGUGAUAGGUAUACUUUAGGAGGGGCUUGCGCCAUAUUAGUUAGUUGGUAGGGUAAUGGCCUACCAAGACGAUGAUGUGUAGCUGGACUGAGAGGUUGAACAGCCACAUUGGGACUGAGACACGGCCCAAACUCCUACGGGAGGCAGCAGUAGGGAAUUUUCGGCAAUGGAGGAAACUCUGACCGAGCAACGCCGCGUGAACGACGAAGUACUUUGGUAUGUAAAGUUCUUUUAUCAAGGAAGAAAAGCAAGUGGUGAACCAUUUGUUUGCCGGUACUUGAUGAAUAAGCCCCGGCUAAUUAUGUGCCAGCAGCCGCGGUAAGACAUAAGGGGCAAGUGUUAUCCGGAAUUAUUGGGCGUAAAGGGUGCGUAGGCGGUCUAGUAAGUCAGUGGUGUAAUGGCAACGCUCAACGUUGUCCGGCUAUUGAAACUGCUAAACUUGAGUUAGAUAGAGGCGAGUGGAAUUCCAUGUGUAGCGGUAAAAUGCGUAAAUAUAUGGAGGAACACCAGAGGCGUAGGCGGCUCGCUGGGUCUUAACUGACGCUGAGGCACGAAAGCGUGGGGAGCAAACAGGAUUAGAUACCCUGGUAGUCCACGCCGUAAACGAUGAGUACUAAGUGUCGGGUUAAACCGGUACUGAAGUUAACACAUUAAGUACUCCGCCUGAGUAGUACGUACGCAAGUAUGAAACUUAAAGGAAUUGACGGGACUCCGCACAAGCGGUGGAUCAUGUUGUUUAAUUCGAAGAUACCCGAAAAACCUUACCAGGUCUUGACAUGUUUUUGCGAAACGGUAGUAAUAUCGUGGAGGUUAUCAGAAACACAGGUGGUGCAUGGUUGUCGUCAGCUCGUGUCGUGAGAUGUUAGGUUAAGUCCUAAAACGAGCGAAACCCUUAUCGUUAGUGGCCAGCACGUUAUGGUGGGGGACUUUAACGAGACUGCCAGUGAUAAAUUUGGAGGAAGGUGAGGAUCACGUCAAAUCAGCAUGCCCCUUAUGACCUGGGCUACAAACGUGAUACAAUGGCUGUUACAAAGGGUAGCUGAAACGCAAGUUCUUGGCCAAUCCCCAAAAACAGUCUCAGUCCGGAUUGAAGUCUGCAACUCGACUUCAUGAAGUUGGAAUCGCUAGUAAUCGCGAAUCAGCAUGUCGCGGUGAAUACGUUCUCGGGGUUUGUACACACCGCCCGUCA
This 1240-nucleotide ribosomal RNA is filed under the name Candidatus Phytoplasma citri. RNAcentral describes it as "bacterial SSU rRNA". It matches the Rfam family "Bacterial small subunit ribosomal RNA", at positions 162 to 1399 of the family's 1533-position model. The record is from RNAcentral. Lineage: Bacteria; Bacillati; Mycoplasmatota; Mollicutes; Acholeplasmatales; Acholeplasmataceae.